This 253-nucleotide unclassified non-coding RNA is filed under the name Patescibacteria group bacterium. RNAcentral's name for it is "contains 16S-23S intergenic spacer region". It matches the Rfam family "Bacterial small subunit ribosomal RNA", at positions 524 to 776 of the family's 1533-position model. The record is from RNAcentral.
UACAGAGACCUCGAGCGUUAUCCGGAUUCAUUGGGCGUAAAGCGUCCGCAGGUGGUUUGGUAAGUCAAUGGUCAAAUCUUCCGGCUUAACCGGGAAACUGCUGUUGAUACUGCCAGACUUGAGGCUGGGAGAGGUAAGCGGAACUGCUGGUGUAGUAGUAAAAUGCGUUGAUAUCAGCAGGAACACCAAAGGCGAAGGCAGCUUACUGGAACAGUCCUGACACUCAUGGACGAAAGCGUGGGUAGCGAAUCGG